CGGCCAUAAAUAUACUUUUAAUGAGUAAAUAGGUUGAAUUAAAAAUCACAAAACUCCUCACAAAGAAAAUUGCAGGCCCAGAUGUUUCCACAGAUAAAUUCCACCAAGCUUUUAAAGAAGAAUUAACACCAGUCAUUCAAAAAUUCUUCUUAAAAAUAGAAGAGUAGCCAAAACUGUCCAAGUUAUUUUCUGAGGCUAUUACUCUGAUAUAAUAACCCAAUAAAUACAUCAAAAAAUAAAGAAAAUUACAGAUAAAUAUCCCUUAUGCAUAUGAACAAAACAUCUCAGAAAAUACUAGCAAAUUUAAUCCCACAACAUAUAAAAACCAUUACACAUCAUGAUCAAGUGGGAUUUAUCCCAAGAAUACAAGGUUGGUUUAACACAGGAAAAUUAAUCAAAUCCAUGGAAUGCCCUAUAUUAAUAAAAAACAAAACACAAGAUAAAAUUUUCAAUGGAUGUAGAAAAAGCAUUGCACAAAAUCUAAUACCAUCUAAUGCCCCAACUCUAAACAAAGUAGAAAUAGAAGAGAAUACCCUCAACUUAAUAAAGCCCAUCUAUGAAAAAAAAUAAAACAAAAAUAACAUCAUACUUACUGGUGAAAAACUAGUGCUUUCCCCUUAAAUCAGUAACAAGACAAAUAUGUAUGCUCCUACCACUUCUAUUUUACAUUAUACUGGAGAGUCCAGCAAGAGCAUUUCAGUUACAUAAAAAGAUAAAUGGCAUCUAGGUUGGAAAGAAAAAAGUAAAUCUAUCUCUAUUAACAGAUGACAUGAACUUGAAUCUUAAAAAUCCCGAGGAAUACACACACACACACACACACACACACACACACACACACACAUGAUUAGAAAUAACAAGUGAAUUCAGCAAGCCUACAGGGUAUAAGAUCAAUAUACAAAAAAUCAUUGUAUUUAUAUAUAUAAUCAAUGAACAAUUGAAAAAGCAAAUUAAAACAAUUUUAUUUAUAAUAGCAUCAGAUAAAAAUACUUAAGAGUUAAUUUAACCAAAAUGUACAAAACAAAACAUUGCUGAGAAAAAGUAAAGAAGGCCUAAAUAACUAGAAAGACAGCCUGUGAGCAUGGAUUAGAAGACUUAAUAUUGUUAAGAGGGCAAUACCCUCCAACUCCCAAGGGAUCUACAGAUUCAAUACAAUCACUAUCAAAAUCUCAAAAUAUCAAAAUCUCAAUAUGCAGAAAUGGAAAAACUGAUCCUAAGAUACACGUGGAAUCUCAGGGGACCCUGAAUAACCAAAACCAUCUUGAAAAGUAAAAAUAAAGUAGCAGAGCUUAUAAAUUCCAAUUUCAGAAAUUAUGUGAACACUGUGGCAAUGGCAUAAGGACAGACAUAUAGACCAGUUAAACAGAAAUAAAUGCAUACACAUGUGGUCACUUGAUUUUUGACAAGAAUGCCAAGAUAAUUCAAUGGGGGAAUGAAUAACCUUCUCAACAAAUGGUUCUGGGACAACUGUGUAUCCACAUGCCAGAGAAUGAAGUUGGAUCCCUUCCUCCAGCCAUAUACAAAUACAAACUAAAAAUGUAUCAUAAACCUUAUAUGAAAGAGCUAAAUCUCUAAAACACUUAAAUGGAAACAUAGGUGUAAAUCUUUAUGACCUUAGAUUAAGCAAUGGUUUCUUAGAUAUCACACCAAAAGCACAAGUGACCAAAGAAAAGAUAGAUAUAUGUGAUUUCAUCAAAAUUAAAACUAUUGUGUCUUAGAGAACACUAUACAGAAGGUAAAGAGGUAACUCAUGUAAUGGAAGAAAGUACUUACAAAUCAUAUAUCUGGUAAUGGAGUGGUAUUCAGAAUAUAUAAAGACUUCAUACAAUUCAACAAUAAAAAGACAUAUGACUCAAUUAACAAAUGAGCAAAAAUUUGGAUAGUCAUUUUAUCAAGGAAAGUUACCCUAUGACUCAGUAAUUCCACUCCUAGAGAGAAAUGAAAAUGUAUGUCAACAGAAAACUUGUACAUGAAUGUUCAUAGCAACAUUAUUCAUAGUAGCCAAAAAGUAGGACCAACAACUACAAUAGCAUUACUUUUGAGGCAUCAAAUUUAAUUGUUUCAGUGUUUUAAAGUGGCUUUUAUGAAGUGUCUAUGUCUGAAAGCUUCAUUUUUUUACCUUUCAUAAACCAAUAUCAUCCCAUAUGGAAAAAGUUCUGAUAUGAGCUACAUAAGAAUAUUAUCCCCUCUUGAUACUGGGGACAGGAAAGGAAGAAACAGCACCCUAAAAGACUAUUUUGAGAAUAUUUGUUAAUUGCACUCUUAGCUUGUUUAUUUUUUAACAGUUCAUAUCCAAGAUAAUUUUUAGUUAACAUAGACUAGCAAGAAUUUUAUGUUUUUUACUGAGUCCCACAUUUACAACUGAUGUUUCCCUCCCUAAGCUUAUUUGUUCAUUUAUUCAACAAGUACUAACUGAGAAACUUCCAUGCUCAGUGCGUAUUCUAGUGAUGAUGUAUAGGUAACCAAAACUAACACUGUUCUUGCUUUAUAGAGCAUACACUUUGGCAAGGGAGAUAGACAAUAAUUGGGUAUUUAAAUACAUGAAGGCAUAAAUAAACACUGCAAAGUGAGUGAAUAAAAUCACUACUAGGAGAGUUUGUGACAAAGGAACCUGACUGAAUUCUAGCAUGCCAUGGUUUCUUAGGAAGUCACAAAGGAACCUGAUUUAAUUCUAGCAUGCCAUGGUUUCUUAGGAAAUGACCUUUGAACUGAGAUUGAGAUAAAUACACAUUUGUUAAGUAAAGCAGAGACAGAGUAGGAGUAAGACUGUCCCAGGCUGGUGGCCCCAUCCAAUGAUUAGAAGGAGAUUAAUAGGAGUUUGUGAACAGAGUUGAACUACAUACUUCCCAUUAUUAAGAUAGGAAUUAGCAUCACCAAAUUUCAGAAUAGCUGUCUCCUCAUUGCAGUCAUCAUUCAUCCAACCCUUGUCAGAACAUGGAUGGGAGUAAGAACAGGAAACAACGAUGACAGGAAGGAGCUGGAAGGAGCUUCCUUGCUGGCAUGGAGAUGCAUGGAUGCACCUGGAUUGUUUUGUUUUCAAAUCAUAGACUCAUGAAAAUAUUUUUUUUUCCUCUUUUAAAAAUGGAUAGACUAUGUUUAAAGAAGUUUUAGGUUUACAAAUAACUGAGCGGAAAACACAAAAAAAUUUAAUCUUUUGCAUUUUUCAAAACAAGGAUUAAUUUCACCAUUUCCAUUCAAUGAAAAUAAAGUACCUUUUGCAUAGGUUUUUAAGAAGAACAGAACACAAGGAUGACAGGGAAGAGCCAGAAGGAGAUUCAAAAAGCUACCACAAAAGUGCCACAUCUUUUUCAAGUCAGCUCUAUACAGUUUCAUUUUAAUGUUCAUAUGUUUUCUUCUUGUGACAUUCCAAUGGCAGAAAUGGCAAUAUGUAGAUAGAGGGAAUAGAGUGGUACAAUUGUGAUCAACCGUGGACAUAAAGUAUGGGUUGAACAGUUGUAAGCAAUUGUGGACUUGGGGUAUGAGCUGUGGAAUUGGAAUUAAUCAUGGACGUAGGUAUGGGCUGUGAAAUUAUAGCUACUCAUGGGCCAGUAGUAUGGAGUGGUACAGUUAAAAUAAAUCAUGAGCCUAUAGUAUGGGCUAGGUAUGUAUUUUCAUUAAUUGUGGGCCAAUUGUAUGGCAAUUGUAAUCAAAUAAAAAUGAAGGAAGAAAGGAUUUAACAUUUUAUUCGA
Non-coding RNA from Macaca mulatta (Rhesus monkey), 3686 nucleotides. The record is from RefSeq and is a predicted model, not a curated record. Lineage: Eukaryota; Metazoa; Chordata; Mammalia; Primates; Cercopithecidae.